This 687-nucleotide ribosomal RNA is filed under the name Winkia neuii subsp. neuii. RNAcentral describes it as "bacterial SSU rRNA". It matches the Rfam family "Bacterial small subunit ribosomal RNA", at positions 51 to 733 of the family's 1533-position model. The record is from RNAcentral. Lineage: Bacteria; Bacillati; Actinomycetota; Actinomycetes; Actinomycetales; Actinomycetaceae.
ACACAUGCAAGUCGAACGGGAUCCAUUGGUGCUUGCACUUUUGGUGAGAGUGGCGAACGGGUGAGUAACACGUGAGUAACCUGCCCUUUUCUUUGGGAUAAGCCUGGGAAACUGGGUCUAAUACUGGAUGUUCCGGCUUCCUCGCAUGGGGUUGUUGGGAAAGGUUUUUUCUGGAUUGGGAUGGGCUCGCGGCUUAUCAGCUUGUUGGUGGGGUGAUGGCUUACCAAGGCUUUGACGGGUAGCCGGCCUGAGAGGGUGGUCGGUCACACUGGGACUGAGAUACGGCCCAGACUCCUACGGGAGGCAGCAGUGGGGGAUAUUGCACAAUGGACGCAAGUCUGAUGCAGCGACGUCGUGUGGGGGAUGAAGGCCUUCGGGUUGUAAACUCCUUUCGCCUGCGGAAAAGGCAGGGUUUUGGCCUUGUUGAUGGUAGUGGGUAAAGAAGCGCCGGCUAACUACGUGCCAGCAGCCGCGGUAAUACGUAGGGCGCGAGCGUUGUCCGGAAUUAUUGGGCGUAAAGGGCUCGUAGGCGGUUUGUCGCGUCUAGCGUUUAAGGCUCGGGCUUAACCCGGGUUUGCGUUGGGUACGGGCAGGCUUGAGUGCGGUAGGGGUAACUGGAAUUCCUGGUGUAGCGGUGGWAUGCGCAGAUAUCAGGAGGRACACCGGUGGCGAAGGCGGGUUACUGGG